GAUGAACGCUGGCGGCGUGCCUAAUACAUGCAAGUCGAGCGAACAGACGAGGAGCUUGCUCCUUUGACGUUAGCGGCGGACGGGUGAGUAACACGUAGGUAACCUACCUAUAAGACUGGGAUAACUUCGGGAAACCGGAGCUAAUACCGGAUAAUAUAUUGAACCGCAUGGUUCGAUAGUGAAAGAUGGCUUUGCUAUCACUUAUAGAUGGAUCUGCGCCGUAUUAGCUAGUUGGUAAGGUAACGGCUUACCAAGGCAACGAUACGUAGCCGACCUGAGAGGGUGAUCGGCCACACUGGAACUGAGACACGGUCCAGACUCCUACGGGAGGCAGCAGUAGGGAAUCUUCCGCAAUGGGCGAAAGCCUGACGGAGCAACGCCGCGUGAGUGAUGAAGGUCUUCGGAUCGUAAAACUCUGUUAUUAGGGAAGAACAAACGUGUAAGUAACUGUGCACGUCUUGACGGUACCUAAUCAGAAAGCCACGGCUAACUACGUG
This 497-nucleotide ribosomal RNA is filed under the name uncultured bacterium. RNAcentral's name for it is "partial 16S ribosomal RNA". It matches the Rfam family "Bacterial small subunit ribosomal RNA", at positions 28 to 507 of the family's 1533-position model. The record is from RNAcentral.